This 29787-nucleotide long non-coding RNA is filed under the name Triticum aestivum (bread wheat). RNAcentral describes it as "long non-coding RNA (TAES_LNC008606)". Lineage: Eukaryota; Viridiplantae; Streptophyta; Magnoliopsida; Poales; Poaceae. The record is from RNAcentral.
GGAAACGUACUUCUUGGAUUAACUUUGUGUGAUGUACAUAUGUCACGCCCAAGAUGCAACCCUAUCCUACAGGAACUCGAAGGUCCCACCAAGGAUAGAAGCGCAUCUUGAAGAUGCUUAUGCAAGGUGGAUAUCAUUACAUCAACAUUACAUAAUAGAUGGGGAUACAUACAAGGCAUACAAAUGCCGCAAGAAUACGUCCAUACAUCAUACAAAAGAUCAACAUCCGACUACGGAUGAAACACAAACAGAAGCUCAAACGACAUCCACCCUGCUAGCCCAGGCUGCCGACCUGGAACCUAUCCCCUGAUCGAAGAAGAAGCAGAAGAAGGACUCCAAAACAGGUAACAUCGCUCUCGCGUCAUGAUCAUCGCAUAACCUGUACCUGCAACUGGUGAUGUAGUAAUCUGUGAGCCACGAGGACUCAGCAAUCCCAUUACCAUGGGUAUCAAGACUAGCAAAGCUUAAUGGGUAAGGAAGGGGGUAAAGUGGUGGGGGUUGCAGCAGCGGCUAAGCAAUGUAUGUUGGCUAACUUACGCGAAUAAGAGUGAGAAGAGAAGCAAUGGAACGGUCGUGAGACUAGCAACGAUCAAGAAGUGAUCCUGAACUCCUACUUACGUCAAACAUAACCCAGAAACCGUGUUCACUUCCUGGACUCCGCCGAGAAGAGACCAUCACGGCUACACACACGGUUGAUGCGUUUUAAUUAAGGUCAAGUGUCAAGUUCUCUACAACCGGAUAUUAACAAAUUCCCAUCUGCCACAUAACCGCGGGCACGGCUCUCGAAAGUUUAUACCCUGCAGGGGUGUCCCAACUUAGCCCAUUAUAAGCUCUCACGGUCAAUGAAGGAUAUUCCUUCUCCCAGGAAGACCCGAUCAGUCUCGGAAUCCCGGUUACAAGACAUUUCGACAAUGGUAAAACAAGACCAGCAAAGCCGCCCGGAUGUGCCGACAAAUCCCGAUAGGAGCUGCACAUAUCUCGUUCUCAGGGCACACCGGAUGAGCCAAACGUCGGGUUGGCAUAGACCCUGGUUGCCUAGGGGGCGCCUGACAUCACUCAUUUUGGACCAGCACUCGAAGGCGCACUGGCCCGGGGGGUAAAUAAAGAUGACCCUCGGGCUCCAGAAACCCAAGGGAAAAAGGCUAGGUGAGGCAAAUGUAAAACAAAGGUUGGGCCUUGCUGGAGGAGUUUUAUUCAAAGUGAACUGUCAAGGGGGUCCCAUAAAUCACCCAACCGCGUAAGGGAUGCAAAAUCAAGGAACAUAACACCGGUACGACGGAAACUAGGGCGGCAAGAGUGGAAUAAAACACCAGGCAUAAGGCCGAGCCUUCCACCCUUUACCAAGUAUAUAGAUGCAUUAAUUAAAUAAGAGAUAUUGUGAUAUCCCAACAUAAACAUAAUCCAACAUGGAGCAAUCUUCAUCUGCAACUGGCAACGCUAUAAGAGGGGCUGAGCAAAGCGGUGACAUAGCCAAACAACGGUUUGCUAGGAAGGGUGACAAAGGUUAGAGGAGGUUUCAUGGCAAUUUGGGCGGCUUGAAGAGCAAGUGAAUAGGUAGCGCAGCAAAGCGAUAGAACGAAGCAACUAGCAUAGCAAUGAUAGUAGUGAGAUCCAAGGUGACGGUCAUCUUGCCUGAAAUCCCGCUAGGAAGAAGAACGAGCCCAUGAAGAAGAUGAAGCCACGAAGACGAAGGAAUCCUCACGAUCGCAACGACACGGGAACUAUCAAGAAGGAGCACACAACAAGGUAAACACACAACACAUAACAAGGCAUGAUGCUUAACCAAGUAUGAUGCAUGACAAGGCUACAUGAAGCUACUCAUGACAAGAGAUGGUGCAUACAAGAACAACACAUCAAAGCAAGUUUAAAUGAGGCCGGAAACAACAUAUAACAAAUCCGGUAAGUCCUCAUAUGCAAAUUUCGAAAUUGGUCCGGAUCUGAAUAAACCUUAUGUUGAAGUUGUCAAACAGCAAGUUAAAGAGUACCAUGAUGAUCUACACGAAAUUCUAGUCAAGUUUCAUAUAAAGUUCAUUAGAUUCGGAGCUACGGUCUAGAAGAUAUGAGCAAAACAAGUUAAACAUGGCAUUGAUGCAAAAUGCAUUCGAACAUCAAGCAAACACCUCAACACAAGGAUGCAACCAGAUAAUAUGGAACUACAUGCAAUUCUAAGCAAGUUACAUAUAGAGCACACCCCAAACGGAGCAACGGUGCAACACAUACACUCCAAACAAGAUAUAACAACAAUCUGUCCAAAACAGCAACUAGGCAUAGUGCAAGCAUCAUAAAAAUAUACUACCGCACCUCAACAUGAAACAAAUGACAUGGGAAUAAUGUACAUGUAAAGCAAAACAAAACAUGAACACUGAGCUAUCUCCAGAAACCACUAGAACAUGCUAAAAGGACAUUGCAAGAUUGCAAAUAAUAACAGUUUCACAGACUUAGCAGAAAUCACUGGGCAUGGCAGAAAUAACAUCAGGUUGCAAAGUUUGGAGCUGUCAAACAACAUGCUACAGGAGCUUAUCAUGGCAAAUGAAAGCAUGGUAUGAUUCUACUCAAAGCAUGUAACAAAUGUCCCUUAGUGAACAUGAGCCAAAAAGGCACAGAAGAUAUGAUGGCACCCAUGUAAACAUAGCAAGAUUCAUAAACAGAUUCAGACAAGAAAAAAACAGAGCAUGGUAGGAAUAACGAUAAGUAGGCAUGUUGGUGAGCUUGCACCACUCCCCACAGAGCAAUACAUGGCAUGACAAGGUAACCAGAAGUAAGAAGGCAUAAAUAUGAAGCUAAGAAUGGCAAUAGCAUAGUCAUAGGGUACAUGGAUCACUAGUAACAACCAUGGCAAAAUUGAUUAACAUGUAAGCAACCUGCCAGGAACAUUUUAUAGCAGAAGUAGAGCAAGAUUACGACAAUCGACAGCAGGUUAUAAAUGCAAACAAGGGCAUGUAUGGAUAGGGCAUAACAUGUAUAACAAAACAUCCUUAGUGAACAUCUCCGGAUUAUGCAUAGAAUGACUUGUAGCAGCAGGUUUACAUGGCAACAAAAUAUAACAGACUCGGCAACAUCACGGAGGCUACUUUGCAUGCUUGUGCUAGUCACCACAUCGAUCACAAAAAUACAAGACAAGCACCACUGUCAAGAUGGCAUGAUGUAGAACAAAACACAUGUAAAGCUCAUGCUCAUAGGAUGCACACACAAAAAUGCAAUGAAAACGACAAAUCACCAAGUUCUGAUAACAGACAGCAGUUACCAACAUAUAGCACUCUUGCGACGAUGAUUAGGGUAUCAAUAUGAACUCUAAUAAACAUGACCCAAUGGAACAAAAUGAAGAGCAUCUCAUGAUGAACAUUUUGAUAUAUUAUAUGCAUGAAUCGGAGCACCGAGCACGAAGUUAUGACAUGGCAAAUAUGUCAACAUGAGAUGCAAAUCCUGGGACUUAGAGAGAUCUUUACCCCGCGAAAGACUGGACGAGGGGAUGCGGGACGGAGGGAACCCGGACGGGCGGAGGUGCGUUUGGAUCACGGGAAGGGUGGAUCUCGUCGACCCGCCCGGAUCUGGCGACGAGGCGACGCCGGCGAAGCUCCGGCGAGCUCCGGUGAACGGGGACGGGCGGCAGGGGCGGAUCUGGCCCCAGGGCGNNNNNNNNNNNNNNNNNNNNNNNNNNNNNNNNNNNNNNNNNNNNNNNNNNNNNNNNNNNNNNNNNNNNNNNNNNNNNNNNNNNNNNNNNNNNNNNNNNNNNNNNNNNNNNNNNNNNNNNNNNNNNNNNNNNNNNNNNNNNNNNNNNNNNNNNNNNNNNNNNNNNNNNNNNNNNNNNNNNNNNNNNNNNNNNNNNNNNNNNNNNNNNNNNNNNNNNNNNNNNNNNNNNNNNNNNNNNNNNNNNNNNNNNNNNNNNNNNNNNNNNNNNNNNNNNNNNNNNNNNNNNNNNNNNNNNNNNNNNNNNNNNNNNNNNNNNNNNNNNNNNNNNNNNNNNNNNNNNNNNNNNNNNNNNNNNNNNNNNNNNNNNNNNNNNNNNNNNNNNNNGGGCCCCGCAGGCCUGACGCGGGCCGAGCGGGCUGACGGCGGUGGGCUGAGGAGGAGGCCACGUGGCGCAACGUGGUUGGCUGCGGGCGGCGACGGGAUCCGUCCGGCGCGGGGCGGACAUGUCCGGCGGCGAGAGGGAGGGGAAGGCUAGGGUUCAUCCGUGAAAUUUCGGGGGAGGUGCAAAUAUAUAGGCAGAGGGAGCUAGGAGAGUCCAAACGGGGUGCGGUUUUCGCCCAUACAAUCGUGAUCAAACAACCGAGAGCAUGGAGGGGAGUUUGCUGGGUUAGUGGACUGAUUUGGAGGGGUGUUGGGCUGCAAAGAGAGAGGGGUUUCGGGCUACGCGGUUAACCGCUGGGGCAUCAAACGAACUCCAAAUGGAACGAAAUUUGACGGGCGGUAUACCGGUGCUAUACCAAGGCCACUCGGCAAAUCUCGGCCCAUUCCGAGAACGUUUUUCUCCCACUCACGAAACAAGGUCUGAGAGGGGCGACGGGCGCGUGCGAGAGUGUUGGAUCGCGAAACGGACAACGGGGAAAAGGACCGGAUGCAAGUUUUGAAAAACAUGAUGAUGCAAUGCAGAUGAUGACAUGGCAAAAUGCAACACGCAAGCACAUGACAUGGCAAGGACGGCGAAUAACUGGCAGACACCUGGUGCAUCGGAUCCAGGGCGUUACAACACUCCUCCACUAAUAAGAGAUCUCGUCCCGAGAUCUUAGGACCGAGACGGAAGGAAAAAGGGAUGAGGUGAAAUAAGAACAAAACAGUGAGGAUGAACAACAUCAAGAACACUCGAGAAGAAGAGAGGGACGACGAGAAUGACGAGAAUCAAAUGCUCAUGAAAUCAGAUAGUGUCGUGGAAUUAACACGUCAGAUGUCCUAGGUGUAAGGACUUAGUUGUGAGGCCAACGCAUCUUUGUAGUAGCUUGAGAGGGGUUGAGCGGAAUCGAGAGACGCAACACAAGACAAGGAUUUAGACAGCUUCGGGCCCCGGGAAACAUCAUCCGGUAACAACCCUACAUGUUGUUUGAGGCUAGGUCUCAUUAUGAUCAUGGGAGAGUCGUCGGGAACCGGCUCUCGGUCUCUAGCCCUAGAGAUUGUUUCUUGUUACCUUUUUUUCCUCUUGGGGAGCCCUGCCCCUCCUUAUAUAAGUUAGAGGGGCGGGUUACAUGUGGAGUCCCAGUAGGACUACGACUAGUCUAUCUUCUCUUACAAGUUAAUUAUAAGUCCGGGUCUUGCUUCCUCGUAAAGGAAAUAUUCGUCAUCCCUUUCCUCUUAAUCUGGCCCAUCAUAACGUGAGCCGGCCUUCUGGGCCCUUGGCCUAGUCUUCUAUCUGACCCGUCGUCGGGGUCAUCCGUGAGUCGUCAGGCUCAUGAAUCGUCUGACAGUGAGCCACCAGACCCGUGAGUAGCCAGUCCUCCGGCGGGUCACGGUGAAGCGCCAAGUCCGGCCGGGUCAUACUUCCGGCCGGGUCAUACCGCGGGGUAUAUCCCCGACAUUAGCCCCCAGUUUAAUUUGGAUUUAUCCAUGUUAAACUAAUCUGCAAUAUAAUCACAAGAACAAAUUUGACAGGUUGUGUUCCAGGUUAAAUAUUCUUUGUAAGCCGGCACUUGAUCAUCCUUAAGUCCUUGUCAUCUUCCUUCUUGAUAUGUAUCCAUAAUCUCAUAGAAAAUCUUUUUAGCAGAUAUGUUCAAAUUUUGCCAAUGCAAAAAAUCCAGAUACUUCCUUUGAAAAAUCCGGGUCAACAGGCCAGCUUCAGAGUCAACUUGCUGACAUUGGUCUCUUGUUGAGAAAUAUUGUAAGAGAUAAUCCACUUGAGUCGGCUUUCAAUGCUCUGACUUGACAAAAAUAUUGGUCUUCAAAUAUUCAACUUAUAUUCAUCCGGCUUAAAGAUAUAAAACUUGCCGGUUUAUGAGUACCAAAAUUGCCGGGUUAUAAAUAGAUGAUGCCAAGUCAUAACUGUCGCCGACUCCGGUUUAUGAUUUUUGCAGACACCAGGUCAAUCUAAUUUACUCAAAACUGAGAAUUUGAAGAUAUUUCUCCCUUAUAUCCAUAUUACCUGUAGCCCCCAAGGGCCGGUUUAAUCAGCAUGAAUAAGACGGGACUUAUCACCAUGGCUUUAAAUAAAAUCCAGUUGUGUAGCCCCCAUGAGUCGGCUAUAGCCAUAGUAGUGUAGCCGGGUCAUCCUAGAAUUGUCUUGAAUUGUUGCCAGGAGCAAUUGGUAGCCCCCAAGGGCCGGCUCAUUACGAUGUGAUGAUUCGGGUCUUCAAUGAAGUGAGCAAAAAAUGACUUUGCAUUAGCCCCCAAGUGCCAUGGUGCAUGCUGGCAGUGACAUGGGACUUGCAUAUUUGAUGUAAUCUCAACUUGAAUAAUGUAGCCCCCAAGUGCCGGGGUGUAAGCCUGCAGCGACUCGGGACUAUUCCUUCCGUUGUAGAAUAAAUCAUAUCCAUUGAUAAAAUAAUUGCGCUGAAGCGACUUUGAAAACCUCAACCAUAAUAUUAGUUUCUGAUAACCAUAAUAAAAAUCCAGCCAUGUUGGCUAUUAAAGAUUUGACUAACCCGGUUUGAAAACCUCAAUCAUUCAAAUCAUAAUGAAAAUCCAGCCAAGUUUGGCUAUUUAAAGAUUUCAAAUACCUUAUCUGUUGACAAGUAAAUCCGGAGUUUAAAUACCCGGCGGCUCUUGGCCGAUGGCGAUUUAUUACGCCUCCAUUGUAAGCCGGAAAUUUUAUAACCCGACUAUUUAUAGCCUUUUGAGAAAAUCAAGAAUUGAUAACCCUUUUGAGACACCAAUGUCAAUCUUUCGACGAUGGGCUUGGACUUAAACAUUUAUAUAAGUCAUAGUUCUGCAAAUCCUGCAUAGAGUUUAAACAACAUACGCCCUGGCGACUUAAUGUCAAAAGCCAUGGCGGGUAACUACCCAAAUGUAGUCUUAUCCUGCACACAAGUAGAUCACAAGAAACCUUGGCGGUUUACCGCAGGGCGGGUCAUAAUAUCUUACAUAUGACCACGGAUGUGUAAAAAAGGAGUCACAGAUAAGCCUGUUAUGAAUCAUAACUUUGAAACAUAACAAUAAUAUCAUACUUGUGAUAUUGAAUUUGCAUUUGUCGGUUUAUAUGACCUGCACAAUAAGGGUGAUAACCUAAUCUUUGAUACGCGCAUGAUUCCAAUGGCGCAAUUCAAAACAUACCGGCGGCUUAAAGUCCAUAGCCAGGGCUAGUUUAAACAUAAUUAUGUCUAAACAAUAUCAUACCUGUGAUAUUGAACUGUACCGCCGGCUUAUGAUACCUGUGCAGUAAGUGUGAUAACCCAAUCCUUAGAAGCCAAUGCUUCCACAUAGAUGAUGAUUGUCACAAGCCGGUGACUUAUCAUCGAAAAUCAAGCCGGGUUUAAAUAGAAACCACUCAUAUACACUUUAGAUGUGUUCAAAAGAGCUUCAAAUAAAAUCCCAAAAAUUAUUUGCAAAAAGAAACUUCAAAAAAUCUUGAGGCUUCUGAUUCGAAUACGAUUAGAAAACCGUCCCAAAGGGGUUAAGCUAAGAUUCGAAUACGAUCAUAUAGCCCCCAGUGGCUUUGGCGUUGCCGAUCAAGAGGGUACCGACAGCUAUGUUCUCUUUGGUUCGAAUACGACCUAUGUUUGAACAGGAAGCCCCCAAAUGACCUUGAGAGUUGUUUAACGACGCUGAUUCGAAUACGAUCCACGUCGGUUCCCAAAGGGGGUUGAGCUAUGGUUCAAAUAUGACCAAGAAACUCCCCAAUGAGCUCGGCAGUGUGCCGAUCAAAAGGGUAUUGACAGCUAUGUUCUCUUUGGUUCGAAUACGACCUAUGUUUGAACAGGAAGCCCCCUAGUGAUCAUGAGAAUAUUUAACAACUCUGAUUCGAAUACGAUCAGGGUCACACCAAAAGGGUUAAACUAAAUUCGAAUACGAUCAGCUCCCAAUGGUCAUUAAAGCAGGGUACCUAUAUUUGAGUUGUGCUUUGUAACAGACUCUCUUUGGUCCCUUUAAUUUUUCUGAGAACUCGAACUUUGCGAGAGACAACCUCUUUUUGAACGGGAAAUUUGUAAACCAGAUAUUGAGAGCUUCAAAGCUUUAUAAGAUAUAAAUUUACCUUGAGCCGGAUGUUUGAACCGGAUUUGAAAGCUUCAAAACUUUGCGGGAGAGAGAUAUCUCUUGAACCGGAUUUUAAACCGGAAUUUUUAUUUUGAACCGGCAAUUUUCUGACGGCCUUUAAAUUUUCAUCAAUAUGGUAGCAGCCUCCGGAACCGGGUUAUCAUUCCCUCCAACGACCCGGGGUUCCCGAGUCAUGUCACUGUAGCCCCCGAGUCUCAAGAUGACUCGAGGAGUUGGUUUGAGAUUCUCCAUAUUUAACCGUGAUAUAAGACCGGCAUAACUUGUAUAUCAUUGGUGUUGAUAGCACGAUGUGUAUCCACAGAAGGUUGAGGUGACUGCGGCGGGUUAUAAAUGAUCCUGUAUGAGCCGUGUCAGCAACUCGGCCAAUGGUUCCUUCCAACUGGCUGUUUGAAGUUCAACCAAACUGUAGUGACGGCGACUUGUGCGCAUGUCCAUUGAGCCAUCCAGUGCAGACGGCGGUUGAUAGUAUAUGAUAAUUUGCCUCCAUUUUCUUGAAAGAAAACUGGGCUACCCAAGCUGUGACUUGCUCAUACUCAUAAACAGCUAAUGCUGACGGGUGCGGCCCGGUGUGUUGAUGUAGACUAGGCCGCGAGAGACGGGCGGCAAAGACGACCGCGGCUUCAGAGGCGGCACAGACACACGAUUCGGCCGCGGUAUUGUAAACCGGCGUGGACGGGCGAAUUAGCCACGUCAUAUUGAUGUAAACCGGUCUACAGAAUGGCGGUUUGCACAUAUAUUCAUCGAGCUUGAUGGCAUGAUAAGAUACUAGCGCAUUUCUAAUGGUAGCGCGAGUUUAUACAUCCGUGACACAGCCAUAGCUUUUGCAGUGAACAAUUGUCCUGCAUAACAAUAUUGCAGACCAAGGCAAAGGUAAACUAUUCUUUUGACAAAAAUAAUAUGUGCUAAAAAUAUAUUUUAGAUAGAUAUCACCUGAUGUGUUUAGGCCAAAAAUAAUCCGCCAUGAAGUUGAUGAUCACUAGGUGAAACUGAAAUCAAUCACGGCCGAGCCGGCCGCGGGAGCAGACAUAUGAGCCGGCCGCGGUGUUGUAAGCUGGUGGGGACGAGCAAGUUGUCCUCUUUGUUGUAAGCCGGCGCGGAUGCGUGAACUGGCCGCGAGAGCGGACGGGCGAGUCGUCCACGGCGUUGUAAGCCGGCGUGGUCGCGAGAAACGGCCACGGCGUUGCAAGCCGGCGCGGUCGCGAGAGACGGCCACGGCGUUGUAAGCCGGUGCGGGAGUCCGUUUGAGUAACGACAACCACCUGUGCCAAAAGAUGUUGGCAUGCCUCCAUCUCCGCGGUAUAAUAUUACUUUGUAAUAAAUAAUUCUCCUGCAUGUAAAAACAGCAGGGCAAAGUAUUUUUGCUCGGAUGAAUUAAUACGUGCUUAAAAAUAAAUAGGGUAAAUAGCACCUGAUUUUUGUCCAGACGACAGAUGAUCCUUUUCGCGGAUCAAAAUUUCACUCAUGGUGCCGGUUGAUCUUUAUCCACUUCCUUUAAACCCCCCUGGGCAGUCAACACACCCAUGAAACAGAUCCAGAUAGAACCAACACAGCCAGCCAGCAGUCAGGCGCGGGCAAAGCUAGCUGUAGCAUGGUUGAUGGAUUGGGGGUGGAUCAAGGCGGCCACGAAACAGAGCGUAUCACAGUGCGGCAGAACCGGCUGGGCAGCUCGACUUGAGCAGAGGCGGCUCCAAGCAGAUGAACCCGCGGGGCAGUUUGACGCGCAGACGUUGAAGCAUGGUGGCAGAUCAGUGCACAUGUGAGGCGAGUGACUCGGCUCGCGGUACGGCGGUAAAAACACCCGGCCGGUUCAUCGGUGGAGAAAGCUUGCAGGUGGAGCAGUACAGAGGCAUAGGGCUGGUGGCCCUCAAGUAAGGCAAGGCCGCGCGGCCGAAGCGGCCCAUCGGCAGAAGCAUGCGAAUCGGUGGUUGAGGCGACUCGCGCAUUCCGUUGCUGGGUUGGUUGUUCUGCAAAAAUCCACGUCCGUCUCAUCUUCCGGGUCGUGGCCUGUUCCUCCUCUCUCUUUUUUUUAUGUGAACUAGCACAUUAGCAAACUCACGUGAGGGAUCUUUGGCGCAUAUGUCUUUGUCCUUCCCAUGUAGGAGUAAGCAGUAAUAUUAGUUUUUGAUUCUUGCGUAAGCAUUGGUGCUUGGUCCUUCACGUGGGGGCGGGGCUGUAGCUUCAGAGAUGUGACAUCGCUACUGUUGCAAGAUUCGCUUGAACUUUUGACAGGACCAAUGGAUGGACCACUCGGGGGUUGACCCUUGCCCACACACGCAUUUGUUGAUUGAUCGGAUUCAACGGAUCACUUUGCAUCGGCGGCGCACAGCAGAACUCCAAACCCUUGCGUCGGCGGCUUAUUCGCUACGGGCGACUCAUGGCCGCGGGCGUGAGCUUUGCGCGAGGGCGGCUCAAAGUGGAGAUGACCCGACAAUCCAGUGAGGUGAGUUGACGAAACGGCGGCCCGGGGUGCGGCCGUUGAUCGCAACAGAACUGUAGCGGGAGGCGAGGCCGCGUGUGAGGACGCACGCCCAGGGAGGCUGGACUCGUACCCAGUGACAGAUAGCAGCGGCGGCAAUCGAAGACAGGGCCACUUCGGCGAGAGGGAGAACAAAACCGGGGCGGUCCAACAGCGCACCAGUACGAGGUCGAGUCGGAGCUGAGGAACAGUGGGGCCGGCUUGGCGCGGCAACGAUGCACGUCCGAGGAAUCUCACGCCCAUUAACUUUCUCCAACGAGCCGUCGUUGACGUACGGCGCUGGUGAUUGGACCUGUUGCCAGCUUGACCCGGUGUUGCAAUCCUUGUCCAAACAUGCAUGCUCACGUGAAGCAGGGCAGGUUGCCUCCUCAAAAUCACUUUAUGCAAUCCGUAACAACGUAUAGUCUUGCCUUCAAGCAACAGUAGCAUAAUUGUUUAUUGGAAGUAGUACUACUCCGAGCAAGAGUAGCAAUAGUCUUUGGCAGAUCAAGUUAUGAAAGCACCCCGUAUUUUGACUCUUGCCCACACGCGCCUGUCGACGUAGAUUGAUCUGACGUGGUGUACGGCAGCUGGAGCACAAUUCCUGUCGGCCUCAAAAAAUUGAUCUUCUAUCCGGAUUUGACGGAUGGCGUUUCAUCGGCGAUACGCACAGGAACGCCAAACCCUAAAUUCCCUUGAACUCAAAACUCAUACUGGACAGUUGCAAACUUCUCGAUCCCUGGGAGCGAACCCUCCAAGAACUCAACACCACCGUGCGCAGGCCCCAUGGUGGGCGCCAACUAUCAUGGAAUUAACACGUCAGAUGUCCUAGGUGUAAGGACUUAGUCGUGAGGCCAACGCAUCUUUGUAGUAGCUUGAGAGGGGUUGAGCGGAAUCGAGAGACGCAACACAAGACAAGGAUUUAGAUAGCUUCGGGCCCCGGGAAACAUCAUCCGGUAACAACCCUACAUGCUGUUUGAGGCUAGGUCUCAUUAUGAUCAUGGGAGAGUUGCCGGGAACAGGCUCUCGGUCUCUAGCCAUAGAGAUUGUUUCUUGUUACCUUUUUUUCCUCUUGGGGAACCCUGCCCCUCCUUAUAUAAGUUAGAGGGGCGGGUUACAUGUGGAGUCCCAGUAGGACUACGACUAGUCUAUCAUCUCUUACAAGUUAAUUAUAAGUCCGGGUCUUGCUUCCUCGUAAAGGAAAUAUUCGUCAUCCCUUUCCUCUUAAUCCGGCCCAUCAUAACGUGAGCCGGCCUUCUGGGCCCUGGGCCUAGUCUUCUAUCUGACCCGUCGUCGGGGUCAUCCGUGAGUCGUCAGGCUCGUGAAUCGUCUGACAGUGAGCCGCCAGACCCGUGAGUCGCCAGUCCUCCGGCGGGUCACGGUGAAGCGCCAAGUCCGGCCGGGUCAUACUUCCGGCCGGGUCAUACCACGGGGUAUAUCCCCGACAGAUAGACUCUGAAACCACUCCGGUUAGAACGAGAUAAGAAACGAAUAAGACUUAAAUGAUUUAGGCAGCACUCCGGCUGAAACAAGGAAAGAAUAGAACAUGAACUUGAGAAAUGGAACGAUACUUGACUUGAGGAACAACACAAAACCUCCGGAAGACUUGAAAUAGUAGAAUGAGAAGAACGGGGAAGAACAAUGACAACUUCUACCAUGAAUGAAAUACAGAGCAUCCUUAGAAGGAAAUAUUGAUCGAAGUUGUUGGAAAUUCAACAACAAGAGAAUAAGCUUGUUGUGGACUUAUGGAUAACAUCUCAAGAUUAUGAGUUGAUAACCGACCACAAGCGAAAAAAAUUGAAUAGCUGAGAGGAACGAAGAAAUGCAAAACUCCACUUCAAAAGAAUUCGGAGGAUUAAUUGCACUUCGAUAUGCAAGACGAAAAAGAUACUUGAGCUACGCCUACAAGAAUCUUGAUGAACACUUGAAGAAUGAAUUAAAUCAUGACGAGCCACCAUGAUGACUCCGGUAACAAAAGAAUGACGAGAUAAAAUUCAAGGAUGAAAGGGAUAAGAUUAAAUCCUUGCGAUGUUUUGGAUGGAGGUUCGCGACGAAAUCGGCGAGAGGCUUAGGACUCCGGAAAAGAAAAGAUGAAAACACUUUGAACCGAGAAUGUGAUAAGAAGAACAACCUCCAAAACGAAGAGAUAAAACCACUUGAAGAAAGAAGAAUAAGGAUUACGUUAUGCUUAUCCUCCACCAACUAAAUUGAUGAGAUGCCAUGGAUUUGCAUACCACUUAUUCGCGUUGGAAAGAUUAAGGGGGGAUAUACCGCAAAACUUGAGAAAGUCUUCAUGAACCACCGGUAGGAUUUGGAAAGAACAAAUUAAUUGAUAUGAUAACAACAGAAAGAAUCUUGAAGGAGCCACCGUAGGAAUUGAAAUGAAUGACGAAAAGAGAAAGAAUCACCGGAAAGAAUUAGAAAAGCACGAAUAUACUUGAGGGAAUCAAGAUGCAAUUGAAAGAAGAGAUCGCGACCUGAUUGAAGCAUACUCGAACGAAGCACCGGAAGAAUAUGUAAACGAACGAAGGGGCACGAAUAUAGAAUAAUCGGAGAACGGAUUUGAAAACUUAGAACGAAGAAAUAUUCUGAAAUGGAGGCCUCCGGAUAAUUGAGACGGAAAACAAGUCCUGAGAUACUCCGGAUGGGUGAAAAUAAUUGCACGACUAGAAACAAUUUGAUAGGAUAACCAUCGAGCUAGCACCGCGAAUUUCUGGGAGAGCGGACAAGAUUUAAGAGAAAUUCUUCUUCGGACUUCAAUGUUGAGAAUGACGACGAGAAAGAACACCAAAAUUGUUGAGAUACUCUGGGAGAAUGAAAAGCGAAGAGGUUGAGCCAACAAUGAAAAUAAUUUGAAAUUGAUCUUGGAAAAGCGUCUGACUGAUGAAAUUCAUACUUACAUCAAACUUCGAAAAGGAUUUGAGAAUAGCUCCGGGAAAUUAGAAGAGUCAAGUAAGAUCCUGGGAAAAGACCUGUGGGUUAAGGCCCACUGAAGAGAAAUCACCGUUGAAAAAGGAUUGUUGAAGAGAUAGAUGAUGCACCGGAACAAUUGAAAUAUUUGAAUGAGGUGACAACCUCGAAUUAAUUCAAACACAGCCGAAUCUCCUGAGAUGUCUUCAUCACUCCGGAACGAUAAAAUGACGAGAGGGGAACGAGCAACGGAAAACAUUUGAGCCGAGGAAAGAAUAUAAUCACUACCGAAAAUUGGAAUUGAAUCCACCAGAGAAGAAAAGAGAUGAAGAAUGUCAAACGAGACGAGAAUUUACCCGUUGAAAUAAUUGAGGGAAGACUGAAGAUACUCCGCACGAAUGAAAUAGAUGCUCGAAUAGAGGCUCAGACUCCGGNNNNNNNNNNNNNNNNNNNNNNNNNNNNNNNNNNNNNNNNNNNNNNNNNNNNNNNNNNNNNNNNNNNNNNNNNNNNNNNNNNNNNNNNNNNNNNNNNNNNNNNNNNNNNNNNNNNNNNNNNNNNNNNNNNNNNNNNNNNNNNNNNNNNNNNNNNNNNNNNNNNNNNNNNNNNNNNNNNNNNNNNNNNNNNNNNNNNNNNNNNNNCUCAGACUCCGGGAAUAAAAAGGGUGGGAGGGCGGGAAAAACACAGGUAACUGGAACAACGAAUAAUUGAAUAGAGAAGCGCCGGUUGAAAUGAUUGAGGAGAAAAAACAAAAGCUUCGCACGAGUAGGAUGGAUACUCGAAUUUCGGACUCCGGCUCCGAGAAGAAAAGGGGUGGGCGGGUGGGAAAAAGAAAAACAACUGAGGACAGAGAAACAACCUCGUUGAGAGAGAACUGAGGAUUGAACUUGCAAAAACAAAGUGGUCGAAUCAACUUGACGAGAAAAUGCACCGGAUGAAAAGAGCUGAGAACCCACGAUCGAAAAACUAACCGCGUGAUCCUAAAAAAAGUUUGAAGGGGAAGAGGAGUAAUUCAAAACACCUACGUCAAGGUUUCUCACCAGAGCGACGAAGGGGCUGAGGAGUAAAAAGAAUUCCUAAUCUCCGAUAUAACUAGACUCAGAAAAAGUUUUCUUCUAGCCUCAACAACGGCCAAACUACACGAUCAAAACAAGGGGGGCUCCUAGGGUCGGUCGAGGCUCUGAUACCAACUUGUCACACCCAAGAUGCAACCCUAUCCUAAAGGAACUCGAAGGUCCCACCAAGGAUAGAAGCGCAUCUUGAAGACGCUUAUGCAAGGUGGAUAUCAUUACAUCAACAUUACAUAAUAGAUGGGGAUACAUACAAGGCAUACAAAUGCCGCAAGAAUACAUCAAUACAUAAACAAAAGAUCAACAUCCGACUACGGAUGAAACACAAACAUAAGCUCAAACGACAUCCACCCUGCUAGCCCAGGCUGCCGACCUGGAACCUAUCCCCUGAUCGAAGAAGAAGCAGAAGAAGGACUCCAAAACAGGUAACAUCGCUCUCGCGUCAUGAUCAUCGCAUAACUUGUACCUGCAACUGGUGAUGUAGUAAUCUGUGAGCCACGAGGACUCGGCAAUCCCAUUACCAUGGGUAUCAAGACUAGCAAAGCUUAAUGGGUAAGGAAGGGGGUAAAGUGGUGGGGGUUGCAGCAGCGGCUAAGCAAUGUAUGCUGGCUAACUUACGCGAAUAAGAGCGAGAAGAGAAGCAAUGGAACGGUCGUGAGACUAGCAACGAUCAAGAAGUGAUCCUGAACUCCUACUUACGUCAAACAUAACCCAGAAACCAUGUUCACUUCCCGGACUCCGCCGAGAAGAGACCAUCACGGCUACACACGCAGUUGAUGCGUUUUAAUUAAGGUCAAGUGUCAAGUUCUCUACAACCGGGUAUUAACGAAUUCCCAUCUGCCACAUAACCGCGGGCAUGGCUCUCGAAAGUUUAUACCCUGCGGGGGUGUCCCAACUUAGCCCAUUAUAAGCUCUCACGGUCAACGAAGGAUAUUCCUUCUCCCAGGAAGACCCGAUCAGUCUCGGAAUCCCGGUUACAAGACAUUUUGACAAUGGUAAAACAAGACCAGCAAAGCCGCCCGGAUGUGCCGACAAAUCCCGAUAGGAGCUGCACAUAUCUCGUUCUCAGGGCACACCGGAUGAGCCAGACGUCGGGUUGGCAUAGACCCUGGUUGCCCAGGGGGCGCCGGACAUCGCUCGGUUUGGACCAGCACUCGAAGGAGCACUGGCCCGGGGGGGUAAAUAAAGAUGACCCUCGGGCUCCGGAAACCCAAGAGAAAAAGGCUAGGUGAGGCAAAUGUAAAACCAAGGUUGGGCCUUGCUGGAGGAGUUUUAUUCAAAGCGAACUGUCAAGGGGAUCCCAUAAAUCACCCAACCGCGUAAGGGACGCAAAAUCAAGGAACAUAACACCGGUAUGACGGAAACUAGGGCGGCAAGAGUGGAACAAAACACCAGGCAUAAGGCCGAGCCUUCGACCCUUUACCAAGUAUAUAGAUGCAUUAAUUAAAUAAGAGAUAUUGUGAUAUCCCAACAUAAACUUAAUCCAACAUGGUGCAAUCUUCAUCUGCAACUGGCAACGCUAUAAGAGGGGCUGAGCAAAGCGGUGACAUAGCCAAACAACGGUUUGCUAGGAAGGGUGACAAAGGUUAGAGGAGGUUUCAUGGCAAUUUGGGCGGCUUGAAGAGCAAGUGAAUAGGUAGCGCAGCAAAGCGAUAGAACGAAGCAACUAGCAUAGCAAUGAUAGUAGUGAGAUCCAAGGUGACGGUCAUCUUGCCUGAAAUCCCGCUAGGAAGAAGAACGAGUCCAUGAAGAAGAUGAAGCCACGAUGACGAACGAAUCCUCACGAUCGCAACGACACGGAACUAUCGAGAAGGAGCACACAACAAGGUAAACACACAACACAUAACAAGGCAUGAUGCUCAACCAAGUAUGAUGCAUGACAAGGCUACAUGAAGCUACUCAUGACAAAAGAUGGUGCAUACAAGAACAACACAUCAAAGCAAGUUUAAAUGAGGCCGGAAACAACAUAUAACAAAUCCGGUAAGUCCUCAUAUGCAAAUUUCGAAAUUGGUCCAGAUCUGAAUAAACCUUAUGUUGAAGUUGUUAAAUAGCAAGUUAAAGAGCACCAUGAUGAUCUACACGAAAUUCUAGUCAAGUUUCAUAUAAAGUUCAUUAGAUUCGGAGCUACGGUUUAGAAGAUAUGAGCAAAACAAGUUAAACAUGGCAUUGAUGCAAAAUGCAUUCAAACAUCAAGCAAACACCUCAACACAAGGAUGCAACCAGAUAAUAUGGAACUACAUGCAAUUCUAAGCAAGUUACAUAUAGAGCACACCCCAAACGGAGCAACGGUGCAACACAUACACUCCAAACAAGAUAUAACAACAAUCUGUCCAAAACAGCAACUAGGCAUAGUGCAAGCAUCAUGAAAAUAUACUACCGCACCUCAACAUGAAACAAAUGACAUGGGCAUAAUGUACAUGUAAAGCAAAACAAAACAUGAACACUGAGCUAUCUCCAGAAACCACUAGAACAUGCUAAAAGGACAUGGCGAGAUUGCAAAUAAUAACAGUUUCACAGACUUAGCAGAAAUCACUGGGCAUGGCAGAAAUAACAUCAGGUUGCAAAGUUUGGAGCUAUCAAAAAACAUGCUACAUGAGCUUAUCAUGGCAAAUGAAAGCAUGGUAUGAUUAUACUCAAAGCAUAUAACAAAUGCCCCUUACUGAACAUGAGCCAAAAAGGCACAGAAGAUAUGAUGGCACCCAUGUAAACAUAGCAAGAUUCAUAAACAGAUUCAGACUUCGAAGAAAAAAACAGAGCAUGGCAGGAAUAACGAUAAGUAGGCAUGUUGGUGAGCUUGCACCACUCACCACAGAGCAAUACAUGGCAUGAAAAGGUAACUAGCAGUAAGAAGGCAUAAAUAUGAAGCUAAGAAUGGCAAUAGCAUAGUCAUAGGGUACAUGGAUCACUAGUAACAACCAUGGCAAAAUUGAUUAACAUGUAAGCAACCUGCCAGGAAUAUUUUAUAACAAAAGUAGAGCAAGAUUACAACAAUUUAAAGCAGGCUAUAAAUGCAAAAAAGGGCACGGAUGGAUAGGGCAUAACAUGUGUAACAAAACAUCCUUAGUGAACAUCUCCAGAUUAUGCAUAGGAUGACUUGUAGCAGCAGGUUUACAUGGCAACAAAAUAUAACAGACUCGGACAGCAGAAAUCACUGUCACAGAAAUCAGCAACAUCACGGAGGCUACUUUGCAUGCUUGUGCUAGUUACCACAUCGAUCAAAAAAAUACAAGCCAAGCACCACUUUAAAGGUGGCAUGAUGUAGAACAAAACACAUGUAGAGCUCAUGCUCAUAGGAUGCACACACAAAAUGCAAUGAAAACGACAAAUCACCAAGUUCUGAUAACAGACAGCAGUUAACAGCAUAUAGCACUCUUGCAACGAUGAUUAGGGCAUCAAGAUGAUCUCUAAUGAAUAUGACCCAAUGGAACAAAAUGAAGAGAAUCGCAUGGUGAACAUUUUGAUAUAUUAUAUGCAUGAAUUGGAGCACCGAGCACGAAGUUAUGAUAUGGCAAAUAUGGCAACAUGAGAUGAAAGUCCUGGGACUUGGAGAGAUUUUUACCCCGCGAAAGACUAGACGAGGGGAUGCGGGACGGAGGGAUCCGGGACGGGCGGAGGCGCGUUUGGAUCACGGGACGGGUGGAUCUCGUCCACCCGCCCGGAUCUGGCGACGAGGCGACGCCGGCGAAGCUCCGGUGAGCUCCGGCGAACGGGGACGGCCGGCAGGGGCGGAUCUGGCCCCGGGGCGGCCGAAUCCGGGCGCGGGGAGGCGAUGCGGGCGCCGGGGCUCGCGGAACGGGCGGCGGCGAAGGGCGGCGGGGGCGCGCCGGCGGGAGGAGCUNNNNNNNNNNNNNNNNNNNNNNNNNNNNNNNNNNNNNNNNNNNNNNNNNNNNNNNNNNNNNNNNNNNNNNNNNNNNNNNNNNNNNNNNNNNNNNNNNNNNNNNNNNNNNNNNNNNNNNNNNNNNNNNNNNNNNNNNNNNNNNNNNNNNNNNNNNNNNNNNNNNNNNNNNNNNNNNNNNNNNNNNNNNNNNNNNNNNNNNNNNNNNNNNNNNNNNNNNNNNNNNNNNNNNNNNNNNNNNNNNNNNNNNNNNNNNNNNNNNNNNNNNNNNNNNNNNNNNNNNNNNNNNNNNNNNNNNNNNNNNNNNNNNNNNNNNNNNNNNNNNNNNNNNNNNNNNNNNNNNNNNNNNNNNNNNNNNNNNNNNNNNNNNNNNNNNNNNNNNNNNNNNNNNNNNNNNNNNNNNNNNNNNNNNNNNNNNNNNNNNNNNNNNNNNNNNNNNNNNNNNNNNNNNNNNNNGGGCUGACGGCGGCGGGCGGAGGAGGAGGCCACGUGGCGCGAUGUGGUUGGCUGCGGGCGCGGCGGGAUCUGUCCGACGCGGGGCGGACAUGUCCGGCGGCAAGAGGGAGGGGAAGGCUAGGGUUCAUCCGCGAAAUUUCGGGGGGAGGUGCAAAUAUAUAGGCAGAGGGAGCUAGGAGAGUCCAAACGGGGUGCGGUUUUCGCCCACAUGAUCGUGAUCGAACGACCGAGAGCAUGGAGGGGAGUUUGCUGGGUUAGUGGGCUGAUUUGGAAGGGUGUUGGGCUGCAAAGAGAGAGGGGUUUCGGGCUACGCGGUUAACCGCUGGGGCAUCAAACGAACUCCAAAUGGAACGAAAUUUGACGGGCGGUCUACCGGUGCUAUACCAAGGCCACUCAGCAAAUCUCGGCCCAUUCCGAGAACAUUUUUCUCCCACUCACGAAACAAGGUCUGAGAGGGGCGACGGGCGCGUGCGAGAGUGUCGGAUCGCGAAACGGACAACGGGGAAAAGGACCGGAUGCAAGUUUUGAAAAAACAUGAUGAUGCAAUGCAGAUGAUGACAUGGCAAAAUGCAACACCAAGCACACGACAUGGCAAGGACGGCGAAUAACUGGCAGACACCUGGCGCAUCGGAUCCGGGGCGUUACAACAUACUAAUGGAAACGUAUUCCUUGGAUUGACUGUGUGGAAUGUACAUACGAACGAAAACGUUUAGCGGGGACUGACUAUGUGGGAUGUACUUACGACCGGAAACGAUUUGGCUUGUAUAAUUGUAUUUUUUUUACUAUGAACGACAGUGGGAGAGGCUCCCACUGACUUUGUAUUACUCACAAACCAGUUACAUCAGGUGUUACAGGUGGGUAUUUAGUGGCCCCCCGGCCAUAGCCUUAAACUAAACAAACGGUUCACAGGCCUUGUAUAUAAGUGGUUAAGAAGGGGCGCAGCCCCUCUUUACAAUUGUGCACAAGAAGACCCAACAGGUCUUUGAAUCUAGCCAGCCAUGAACGGAAAGAAUGUGGGACCCCUCUGAAGUGCUCAUUGUUCCUCUCUAUCCACAAGCUCCAAGCAGCCAUCAAGAAAAUGUCCAUAAAAAGUGGACGGCUCUAAUUCCCCUUUCCAUCGUGCAGCAAUGCAAGUCUGUUCCCCGACGCCGGCCAUCGCAUGCCAACCUUCUCCCAACAGUUCUGGCUAAAGGGGCACAGGAAAAUGAGGUGCUCGAUGGUUUCCUCCGGAGGGUUUUGGCAAAGCAAGCAAGCGUAGUUGUUGUCUGCAACAACAUAGUGCCUACGUCUCAGCAUGCCUCUCGUGUUUAAGCGGUCCACAAGCAGCAACCACCCAAACAUUUUGAAUUUGAUUGGACUUCUAGCCUUCCAAAGUCAGGAGAAGGCAGCGUCAGCAGUCGUCUCUCUGAAGCAGUGGUCAUGGAAUUUCUUGGAGGAGAAGCCACCCCCAAGAUUGCAUUCCUAGGUGUCCUUGCAACCCCUUUCCAGGAUCACAUGCAUCGAUCUUUGCUGGAUCGCUCUGACUUCAUCUCUGGCCUGAGCAGACAGGGGCAGAUGGAAGAGGACGCCUGGGUCCGUAGCAAUGAGAACAUUAGCCACAGAUUCAUCCUCAUUCAGGAAGAAGGAGAACGCCCUAGGGUAAAGAUCCGCGAGGGGGCAUUUUUUUCAUCGACAAACCAUGCGUCUUUCCAGAAGAGCGAGGAGGACCCGUCCUCAAGGGUGACACUGGUGAUCCCUCGAAAAACAUCGGUGAGUUGCAUGACAUCAAGCCACCAGAAAGAGCCAACAGGGACAACUGUGUGCGGGACUUUGCCCGAGUAAUAUGUAUCCCAGAUCAAGUUCACCCAUGGUACAUCCUCGUGGUUGUAGAACUUAAACAGGUGCUUAAGCAAGAGGGCCAUGUUUUGUGUUUUUAUGUCAAUGACUCCCAGGCCUCCUUUGCGUUUUGGCCUACAGACCAACUCCCAAGCUGCCAACGAGUUAUUUUUGACCCCAUCAUCAGAAUUCUUGGCACAGAGACAGUAUCUUCGCAAUUUAUCGAGGUGCUCAAUCACCUUAGGGUGUAACUUGAUAGUGCACAUGGCAUAGAUGAUCAUCAAUGUAACAGCAGAGUUGACCAGGGUAAGUUUGGCUCCUGACGACAUGAGGGACAGUGAUGUGGACAUCUUCCUCUCCACACCAUGUACUAGCGGCAUGAGGUCGAGCAGAUUUGGCCUCGUUGUACCCAUCAGGAGACCCAGGUAGGUGAACGGAAGCGAGCCAACUGAGCAACCAAACACCGGCGCCAGAUCCAUAGCGCGUCGGUUGUCUAUGUUGAUGGGAAUCAACGUUGAUUUAUGGAAGUUGAUUUUUAGUCCAACCGAGGCCGCAUAAUCCUCGAGGAUGAGUUUCAUACUAGCAGCUUGUUUAGGGCAGGCAGGCAUCACCAGAAUAGUGUCGUCGGUGUACUGAACCACUGGAAAGUCACCAUUAUGGUUGCAAGGAAUUGGUAGGUCAAUCAGGCGUCGACGAAAAGCAUCAUUAAUGGCAGCUUGGAGGAGGUCCGCAGCGAGGACAAAAAUCAGAGGUGAAAGAGGAUCUCCUUGACGCACCCCACACUUGCACUGAAAUUUUCUGCCGGGAACUCCAUUAAGGAGGACCGAAGGGACACCAGAACCGAAUAUAGUUUCCAUCCAUCCCAGCCAUUUGUCAUCAAAACCCAUAUGUCGCAUGAUCUCUAGCAUGGGGGCAUGUUCAAUUGUGUCGAAAGCUUUCGCGAAAUCAAGUUUAAGAAGUAUGAUCUCAUGCGAGGAAGCCUGACAUUGAUGGAUAUAUUCGAAUGUCCAAGUCAAACAGUCUUGGAUGGUCCUCCCCUUAAUGAAGCCGUACUGGUUCCUGUGAAUGAUUUUCAGAAUAACUUUCUCCACGCGGUUAGCCAAAAUUUUGGUGACUAUUUUCAGGCAGCAGUUAAGCAGAGUUCUAGGUCUGUAGUCAUUAGCAGUCUUAGGAGAAGAAAUUUGCGGGAUCAAGGUAAUGUAUCCUUCACUGAUACUGGUGAUAUCAAGAUUACCUUCAUGAAAGUCUCGGCACAUCUUGUAGAAAUCUUCUUUGAUGAUCUGCCAGCAACUCUUAAGAAAGCAACCGUUGAAACCAUCCGGACCAGGGGCCCUGUCAGCCGGCAUUUCUUUAACCGCUGCAUCAAUUUCCUCAUUCGAGAAGGGGGCUGAUAAAUCAGCUAAACCAUCAAUCCUCUUAAUGAUUCGUGCGAGGUCAUAUCGCAUAUUAGAGGGCUUAGAAGAACCCAAGCGUUCUUUAUAGGCUUUGUACAAAACCCCUUCUUUGCCAACAUGAUCACUGACCACAAUAUCUCCAUCGCGUAAGCUUGCAAUAGAAUUGUGUCUGUACCUCUCGGUUGCAAGAGAUUGAAAUAGCUUAGUGUUUUCGUCAGCAAAUCUGAAGUAACGGAUGGUGCAUUUCUUCCUCCAGUAUUCAUUCUGAUAUUUAAGCAGAGUAUUCAGACGCAGCUUCAAAAUAUGCCUGAAAUUUGUUUCUUGGACGAAGAGUGGUCGCUUGUCUUCAAGAUCAUCAAGAUGGGUAAGAGCCUCAUUACUAUUAUGGACCAUGGUUUUCAUGGCCGAGAGCCCUCGACUCCAGUGCUUGAGAUCAUAUCGCAGCAACUUGAGCUUUUUGCAGAUAAGCGCGGCAGAAUUAGGAGCAUGACACGGCUUGGACCAAGAACCAGCAACUACGUCAUGAAAGCCCGUGUGAUUGACCCAGAAGUUUUCAAAACGAAACAAUUUAGACUUUGGGAUUUUGGACUCUAUGGCCACCACACACGGGAUAUGAUCAGAGACAGGUUUGCCGAGCGGUAGGACCAGCGUGUUUGGGAAAUCAGUCGUCCAAUUGGAAGAGGAGAAAAACCAGUCAAGUUGCUCAAGCAAAGGAUCAUCCUGCAUAUUGCUCCAAGUGAAUCUACCCUUGACAGGGAUUUCCAUCCAAGAUUGUGCUCUGAUUUAUUCAUUAAAAAGGAGCAUGUCAGCGGCAUCUCCACCUGGUUUGUUUCUAUUCAACGUGGAACGAAUGAAAUUAAAAUCGCCCAGACUCAACCAAUUUUCGUCAUCAGGGAUAUUAAGAUCAGACAACCAUGAGGUAAAAUCCACCCUUCUCUGACCAGAGCAGGGUCCAUAAACAUUGACCAGGUUCCAAGCUUCAUCGGACUGCGUGGCAACAAAGGAUACCCCCACAGCAAAAGAUUCAACGUGCCAAGGUGUGCCCACAAAUACAGAACUAUUCCAGAUAGUAAUAAUCCCACAGAAGCGCCUAAAGAGGGAGCAAACACAAAUUUAUCAAAUCAUUUAGGGCAGAAGGUUUUAAUAAAAGCUAAAUCAAAAGCUUCACGCUUGGUCUCUUGGAUACAAAGCAUAGAACAACCACUAGAAUCAAUAGUGUUUCUAAGAGCCAAAAGCUUGCUAUCAGAGUUUAUGCCCCUGAUAUUCCAUGAUAACACAUUCCACGAUUUAUCCAUUGCCGAAGAGAAGAUCAGUUUCCUCCGUCAGGAGCCGAGUGCUGGCCAUCCAGCAGCUUCUCAGUAGAUAACUCUUCAGGAGGGAUCCCGCAUCGGCCACCCAGCUGUUGGAGUUCCUCAAUGGAAGUAGGGGGCGGGCAAGAUGCAGUAUCAGCUUGCACAGGAGCAGCCGCCGUAGAGAUGGCUCUGACAGAAGGCACCACGCGAGCACACACCCUGGAUCUGGCUUGCUUGGCGUCAGAAACUUGGUUGAUCUUGAAACCAUCAUAUUUGUUUGAUCUAGUGCUCCUUCUAACCACGGUGGUGUCCAGCGGUAUCUUGGCAUUGCGUGAGGCACCUGGCAUAAACUGAGACGAGGAGGCAAUCAACUGAAGUGCAGUCCCUUGGUUAGGCAAAGUAUCUGAAACAGAAGCGGGUUGGGCACGAGCAGAGUCAUUAGCAAGAUGCAUAGAAAUGGCUUUAAGACCAGGCGAUUGGCUCUCUAGUUCCCAAUCAACAGCAGCAACAUUAGAGAUGUCGAAAUUGUCCACAAGCAGCAGGUUACGCGGGAUUAGAUGAGCUCCCACCUGAAAAUUAGUGGAGAAAGUCACUGACAUAAAAUCAGGUUCAGGUGCAACACUCAGCAUCCAGGCAGCACAAACCAAAUUCAGUUGGCACUGAAUUUCCCUAAAUGGAUUAAGAGGAAACAUGACCUGCUCAGGUUGAGCAUUGGUAAGGGCCGGUGUGUAUAUGCACUUGAGCAUGCCUCCAAUCCAGAGCAGAAAUUCAGAGUCAAGCGCUACAGUGAGACUGAUCGAAUUGCCCCCAGCUCUGACAAACGCCAACCGAGCAACCGGAUUCCCAAGAACAAAGCUUUCAGCAAGGGCUUCAACUGCAUCAAUUUCUCCCUCAGAAGACCACACGUCAGACAAGUUGUCCUGAACAUUGUGCUCCGAGUUCACACCAUCCAUCAGAGACGGCCCAUCAUAUUGGAAAAAGGAUCUGAAGCUGAAACCAGAGUAGAGGGGAGGAACCACUAGCCACAUGCGCCAGCCAUUUUCCUGAAUCUGUUCGUUAGCAGGUGCAGGCGCAUUCCAUGCAGCUUCAUUCAGAGCCUCCUGUGCAGCCAUCUCAUCAAUCCUGGCCUGUUGCAUGACAGUGUAGUAGGGGAGCUCAUACGGGUGUGGUGAUGCAUUAAGAAGCGGAGGAGCUUCCUCCGUUCCCAUCAGACCUGGGAUGAUAUUUCUGCCAUUAAGAACAUACACCGGAACUGACCAAGAGCGGCCAAGACCCGGCAACAUUCCGACUCUGGUGACCAAGAGGCUGUGUGGCACUUCAGCAACAUCUUUGAUAUGACACUUUACCAAAACACGAGCCUUGUUCUGACCCGGGCGUGGCCAGACAAGGAGUUUACCAAAGUUAGAGACAGCCUUGUUAACAUAGUGGUCAGUCUGAUAAUCCAUGGGGAACGCAAGGAACAUGAUCCAAACUUCAUACUCAAAAGCGGGCAUGCGCAUAUUGAUGCUCUCAUCAUGCGGGACUAGCGAGAAGGUAGAGUCAUCAGUCAGGGCGUGAGGCCCUUCCCUAAUCGCAGCAUCCCUACUCUUCAUGUCCGCGAAAACCACGCAACCAAUACCAAGCGGAUAAAUGAAAUCAUCAAGCAAGUCAUACUCCAGAUCCACAGUGAUGAUGCGGCAAACCUCGGCAAGCCAGAACUCCUUCUGAUGAUCAGGAACAGGAGGAUCGACAGAGACUACGGCAUACCUGUCAUGGUUGAGCGGUCGGUCAUCCACCACCAUGACUUGGCGUUGGACGUGAUGAGCAGGGCCGCGGUCGAACGUCGAACCCGGCGGAGCAAAAUCGAAAGGGCGCACCGGAAAGUUCGCCAUUGACGCCGAUGAAGGGGAACGGAGAAGUGGAGGAGGCGCAGCCGGCGAUGAAGAACAGACCGUGGUUUUUUGCAAGGGUAGAAGUGGCAGGGGUGGCAGACUCGAGGAGGACAUCGCCGCACUCGAUUGGGGUUUUUGGCAGGUGGAAUUGACUACCCCUGGACGAGGGAGUCGUAUCGUCGAGCAAUGGGAAGGUGCCAUGUCUGGGGGGCGGGGGAUCUUCUGUUUCCGAGUCCAAACCAUAUGCGCUCGCGAAUCCCGCUUAGUACGGGCCAUACCAACAACCAUAGAAUUACCCACCAUAGAGGAUUUUGGUGUACUGUUGGGCAAGAUUACAUUGGAUUUAGAUGCAUGCGGUUUGAUCGGUAUCCAGCAUAGCUUGGGCAUAUUGUGACAUAAGAUGGGCUUAUGGGCUCUAUGGCCGACCUGGUGACAGAACGGACACCUGUGAAGCCCAGGACAAUUGACAGAUCGGUGCCCCACGGAUCGACAUACCAAACAAGUCAUGGGUGAGGAACGGCCCAGUAUGCAUGGCUCAUGACGUGGAGAGGGUAAAGGGGCUUGAUCAGCCCCUGAUGAGGCCAUAUUCUCCAAACAUAAACAUUUCCCAGUACUAUCCCCACAAUGUUGACAGAAGAGGCCCGUGCAAAUUGCCGGCGGAUGGCCAAAACGAUCACAAAGAGAACAGUGCUUAAGCCUUCUGUAUAUGUAUUCCUUCAUUGGUAUUGAGCAAAGAUCCACCAUUAACUUAACGCACUCAUCAUCAUAACCAGCUUGCCAACCAUCUAGGAUAUGGUAAAGGGUAUCAUCCGGAAUAGAAUCCCAUAUACCUUGCUUGAACAGAUGUCCCUGAAAAGAUGGCAACUUAUCUGUCAAAGCGGAAGGAAUUGGUACGUUGACAGUCCCAAUACGAAAGAGAUCCUGAUUUUCCGAAGAAACCGGAACCGUAAACCUGCCCAAAGAGAUCUCCGAUGAGGAACUGACGCCGGAAUAUCCCUCUGUCGGCGUUGAAGUCAAUCCCAAGUUCGCAAAGACCAAUAGUGAGGCCGGAUCAAUGUCAUCAAUGGAUUUGGAUGAAAGCCAUUUUGAUUUGAUUGCCGGGCCAGGUGAUGAAGCCAGAUCAUUGAUUUCAGUGUCUGCAUUCCAGCCAUGGGAUCGGUGGCGAGGCAUUACUCCUCGGUGGAGAUGAAAAUGACAGAUGAAGUCCGGACAAAUACGAUCCCGUAAGCCAUAAAUAAAAUUACCCACACGAUUAGAUGGCACCGAGAACCAAAAACGCCGAUCACCCAAACGGAUCACCUUAAAACCUUCACUGAUUCCACCAAUGCAAGACUGGAGAGCCAAACCCACUGAAUUCACCGAGAGAGGAAAGGAGGCGGAGGAAAAAGAAACUUCAAUGAAGAAUUCCUUGGAGUUGGGGUUGGGGACGAAAUGAACCGUAGAUCCAAAUCGUGCACGCACCUGGCCCUCGACCUUGAGGCCGGGGGAGAAAUCCCAAUGGAGGAGGCCGUCCAUUGGGGUCGCCGGAGAUGGAGACUAGGGCAGGGUGCCAAAGUCGCCAUGAGAGUCGCCAUGGGAGGGUGGAGGGGUAUAAUUGUAUUUUUUAGCACAACUAUACAUAUAACCGUAUUUGAUCGCUCGCCCGUUGCUCAUGACCUCAAUUUGCCGAGCAUGUGUGCCAGGAGGCCUAUCCCCGGCGGUUUCUGGGUCGUGUGGGAAGGACCCCCUUAUCGCAGUCACUCACUUGGUGACGGUUCGAAAUGCCGUCGCGGAAAGGGGUUAAAAACCGUUUGUAUAGCACCUCGUUCUACCAGUGUGACAUACCUUGGGUUGUGGUGUUGAUCUUGCUCAUGUAGUCGAACUUGUGUUGGAUGCUCAAGGUUGAUGUAGUUCAUCAAGAGUUGGGAGCACCACUUGGAUUUUGAUUUCAUCUUCCUACAUGGGUUAGUCUUGCAAGGAGUAACACUUGUGUAUCCAAAUGACAAACAUGAAACAUGAUACUAAGUGAAACUUGAUAUAUUUAAAUUGUCAAAGGAUAUGUUGAGUGAGUUCAUGCUUCCUUGUAUUCAACAACCAUAUAGUAGGGACUUGGUGAUGUAGAGAUUUCUCAAAAUGUGAGUGACUUGCAGUCUCAUAGAUUUAGGUUCAUCCAAGUACCUACAAGGGUUAGCUAAAAUGCAAGGGUACAAGUAUAGAUCCAAGACAUAUGAUCAUCAUCAUAAGAGAAAUAUCAAGGAUUAGUCAUAAAAGGCUCAUGCCUUGCAUGUAUCCAAAUGGAGCUUCUACUCCAACUUUGAGGCAUCAAUGAUAUUCAAUUCACCUCUCAAACGGAAAAAAAUUCUCAUCAAGCGGUUUAGUGAAUAUAUCCGCCAAUUGCUUAUCAAUACGCACAUGCUUAAGAUUGAUGUCUCCUUUAGCAACAUGAUCUCAAAUGAAAUGAUGACGAACUUCAAUAUGCUUAGUUCAAGAAUGUUGCACGGGAUUGUGAGCAAUCUUAGUAGCACUUUCAUUAUCACAAAGCAAUGGAACAUGUUUCACAUGUAUCCCAUAAUACUUAAGGGUUUGGGUCAUCCAAAGUAAUUGAGCACAGCACAAUCCGGCAGUAAUAUAUUCCGCUUCGGCAGUAGAUAAGGAUACCGAGUUUUGUUUCUUGGAGGACCAAGGGACAGGGGAUCUACCAAGAAAUUGACAAGUACCCGAAGUGGACUUUCUGUCAACCUUGUCAUCGGCAUAGUCUGAAUGAGAGUAGCCGACAAGAUCAAAAGAUGACCUCUUUGGAUACCAAAUGCCAAAGUUUGGUGUAUGAAUUAAAUAUCUCACUAUCCUUUUCACGGCCUUAAGAUGACAUUCUUUAGGGGCCACUUGAUAUCGUGCACACAUGCACACACUUAGCAUAAUAUCGGGACGGGAGGCACAUAGAUAUAACAAUGAACCAAUCAUAGAGCGGUAAUCUUUUUGGUCAACUAGUUUGCCAUCCUUAGUAAAGUCAAGAUGUCCACUAGUAGGCAUGGUUGUUUUCAUACCUUUGAUUUCUUGCAUGUUGAACUUCUUGAAAAGAUCCUUGGUAUACUUUGUUUGAGAAACAAAGGUACCUUCCUUAGUUUGCUUGAUUUGCAAUCCAAGGAAAAAUUUGAGUUCACUCAUCAUAGACAUCUCAAACUUCUCCGACAUUAGCCUUCCAAACUUUUCACUAAAAUGGGGGUUAGUAGAACCAAAUAUGAUAUCAUCCACAUAAAUUUGGCACACAAAUAAUUCACCAUUAACCCUUUUAGUAAAAAGUGUAGAAUCAAUCUUCCCGAUUUCAAAGCCUUUUUCAAUAAGGAACUUGGUCAGGUAUUUAUACCAUGCUCUAGGAUCUUGUUUAAGACCAUAAAGAGCUUUAUGAAGUUUGUAAACAUGAUUAGGUUUCUUGGGAUUGACAAAUCCAGGAGGUUGUUUAACAUACACUUCCUCUUCAAUUUCUCCAUUAAGAAAAGCACUUUUGAUGUCCAUUUGGUAUAAGGUGAUAUCAUGGUGAUUGGCAUAAGCAAGUAAGAUGUGUAUGGACUCAAGUCUAGCAACGGGGGCAUAUGUCUCACCAUAGUCCAUACCUUCAAAUUUAGUGUAGCCUUGAGUGACGAGACGGGCCUUGUUGCGUACAACUUGUCCAUCUUCAUCUUGCUUAUUUCGAAACACCCAUUUGGUUCCAAUGACAUUAUGAAUUUCAUCGGUUUUUUCAACCAAUGUCCACACUGGAUUCCUCUCGAAGUUGUGUAGCUCUUCGUGCAUAGCAUUGACCCAAUACGGAUCCUCAAGAGCUUCUUCAACCUUCAUAGGUUCAAUACUAGAAAUGAAUGAGUAGUGUUCAAAAAAGUUAGCUAAACGAGUUUUAGAGCGAGUGAUUCUCCUGGUUUGAAUAUCAUCAAGGAUUUGUUCGACGGGGUGGUCUCUUGAUUUAACUCGUGAGAGCUUUUGUUUGGGUUGAGGUGGAACAUCCUCUUCAUUGUCUUCUUCUUCCUCUCUUUCUUCAUUGUUGUUGGUGUUGUCGUUCUCUUGUGGACGUGGAGAGGGAGGUCGAGGUGGUUCUUCUUGUUGUACUUCCUCAUUUCCUCUAUCUUGACGAGUUCCACUUGUAUAUGCCUCCAAGUCAACUUGUAGUUCACCUUGAUGUGAAAUUGAGGCUUCCACUUGGACGGAUGAAGUGCUCUCCUUCACCUCCAUUGGGCGAACCUAGCCAAUGGACAAAUCUUGGAUUGCUUCCGAAGGAUCUUUGUCUCCUACAUCAAUUGGCAAUUGCUCUACUUGCGAGUCGUUAGAUUCAUCAAACUUCACAUAUACCAUCUCUUCAACCUUUCAGGUGAAAUUGUUGUAGACACGGUAAGUGUGAGAAUUUGAGCCAUAACCGAGUAGGAAACCUUCAUGAGAUUUAGGAGCAAACAUCGAGUGACGAUGCUUAUCAAGAAUGUAACACUUUGAGCCAAAUACUCGAAAGUAUCCAACUUGGGGUUUGUUACCUGUGAGAAGCUCGUAUGCCAUUUUGCCGAGAACCUUGUGAAGAUAUAGUCGAUUUGUAG